UGAAUACGAAAUGCUACGGCAUUGAAGUGAUCUAUGCCAUGCUUCCAAGAAAAUCUCGUCAUAUCUUAAACAAUAGAUGCCUGUACCUUAAACCGACACAGGUAGGUAGGUAGAGUAUACCAAGGGGCGCGAGAUAACUCUCUCUAAGGAACUCGGCAAAAUAACCUCGUAACUUCGGAAGAAGAGGUACCCUUGAAAAAGGGUUGCAAUAACCAGACCCUGGCGACUGUUUACCAAAAACACAGGUCUCCGCUAAUUCGUAAGAUCAAGUAUGGAGGCUGACGCCUGCCCAGUGCCGGAAGGUUAAAGAAGUUGGUCAAUCUUUGGAUGAAGCUGGCGACUGAAGCCCCGGUGAACGGCGGCCGUAACGAUAACGGUCCUAAGGUAGCGAAGUUCCUUGUCGGGUAAGUUCCGACCCGCACGAAAGGCGUAACGAUCAGGGUGCUGUCUCGGAGAGAGAUUCGGCGAAAUAGACAUGUCUGUGAAGAUGCGGACUACCUGCACCUGGACAGAAAGACCCUAUGAAGCUUUACUGUAUCUUGGAAUUGGGUUUGGGCCUUGCUUGCCAGGAUAGGUGGUAGGCUAUGAAAAUAUUCUUGCGGGAAUGUUGGAGCCAACGGUGAGAUACCACUCUAGUAAGGCUAAAAUUCUAACUCUGAACCGUUAUCCGGUCAGAGAACAGUUUCAGGUGGGCAGUUUGACAGGGGCGGUCGCCUCCUAAAAGGUAACGGAGGCGCGCAAAGGUUCCCUCAGGCUGGUUGGACAUCAGUCGUAGAGUGUAAAGGCAUAAGGGAGCUUGACUGCGAGACCCACAAGUCGAGCAGAGACGAAAGUCGGCCUUAGUGAUCCGACGGUUCCACGUGGAAGGGCCGUCGCUCAACGGAUAAAAGUUACUCUAAGGAUAACAGGCUGAUCUCCCCCAAGAGUUCACAUCGACGGGGAGGUUUGGCACCUCGAUGUCGGCUCAUCGCAUCCUGGGGCGGUAGUACGUCCCAAGGGUUGGGCUGUUCGCCCAUGAAAGCGGUACGCGAGCUGGGUUCAGAACGUCGUGAGACAGUUCGGUCCAUAUCCGGUGCAGGCGUUAGAGCAUUGAAAGGAGUCCCCCUUAGUACGAGAGGACCGGGGGGAAUACACCGCUGGUGUACCAGUUAUCGUGCCAACAGUAAACGCUGGGUAGCCAUGUGUAGCGUGGAUAACUGCUGAAAGCAUCUAAGUAGGAAGCCCACCUUAAGAUGAGUGCUCUCACCGCUAUAAGCGGGUAAGGUCACGGUAAGAACAACCGUUAUAUAGGCAUUAAGUAUACGUGCAGUAAUGCAUUUAGCUAAGAUGUACUAACAGACCGAGGGCUUG
This 1350-nucleotide ribosomal RNA is filed under the name metagenome. Its description in RNAcentral is "bacterial LSU rRNA". It matches the Rfam family "Bacterial large subunit ribosomal RNA", at positions 1564 to 2925 of the family's 2925-position model. The record is from RNAcentral.